CCAGAGACCGAUAGCGCACAAGUAGAGUGAUCGAAAGAUGAAAAGCACUUUGGAAAGAGAGUUAAACAGUACGUGAAAUUGUUGAAAGGGAAGCGCUGGCAACCAGACUUGCUCGCGGGUGAUCAGCCUCCCUUCGGGGGGGGUGCACUCGCCCGCGAUCAGGCCAGCAUCGGUUUCGGCGGGCGGAUAAAGUCCCCAGGAAUGUAGCUCCCCUCGGGGAGUGUUAUAGCCUGAGGUGCCAUGCGCCCAGCCGGGACCGAGGACCGCGCUCCGGCUAGGAUGCUGGCGUAAUGGUUGUCAGCGACCCGUCUUGAAACACGGACCAAGGAGUCUAACAUCUGUGCGAGUGUUUGGGUGUCAAACCCAGGCGCGGAAUGAAAGUGAACGGAGGUGGGAGCCCUCUCGGGGGCGCACCAUCGACCGAUCCUGAUGUCUUCGGAUGGAUUUGAGUAGGAGCAUGGCUGUUGGGACCCGAAAGAUGGUGAACUAUGCGUGAAUAGGGUGAAGCCAGAGGAAACUCUGGUGGAGGCUCGCAGCGGUUCUGACGUGCAAAUCGAUCGUCAAAUUUGCGUAUAGGGGSG
Molecule: ribosomal RNA, 581 nt
Filed under: Aspicilia albonota
Lineage: Eukaryota; Fungi; Ascomycota; Lecanoromycetes; Pertusariales; Megasporaceae
Description: partial large subunit ribosomal RNA
Source: RNAcentral